This is a long non-coding RNA of Physella acuta, 359 nucleotides long. RefSeq lists it as uncharacterized. The record is from RefSeq and is a predicted model, not a curated record. Lineage: Eukaryota; Metazoa; Mollusca; Gastropoda; Physidae.
CGACGCAGCGUUCUAGAACACGUGCAUUUUUGGCCUAGUUAGAUCUACAGGCUUGGGUGUUUCGACGGUGACCGGGUGAAGGCCAUUCUCUCUGAAAGCCAAGGUCGUAUUUUUGACAGUCGACCGGCCGGUGAACAUUUGGCAUUGAAGUGCUUGGAUCAUUUAAGGAAGUUCAAAUUUAUCUUUCUACUUAAUACAUCAAGAAAACCAGUAAAGAUGGUUAUCAAAUCAAUUCAUGCACGUCAAAUUUUUGACAGCCGUGGAAACCCCACUGUUGAAGUUUGAUUUAACAACAGAUAAAGGUAUGUUCAGGGCGGCUGUACCAAGUGGAGCUUCUACUGGAAUUUAUGAGGCUGUUG